Molecule: ribosomal RNA, 274 nt
Filed under: uncultured bacterium
Lineage: Bacteria
Description: partial 16S ribosomal RNA
Rfam family: Bacterial small subunit ribosomal RNA
Source: RNAcentral
AUACGGAGGGUGCAAGCGUUAUUCGGAAUCACUGGGCGUAAAGGACGCGUAGGCGGGAAGCCAAGUCUGAUGUGAAAUCCUAUGGCUUAACCAUAGAACUGCAUUGGAAACUGGUUACCUAGAGUAUGGGAGGGGGAGAUGGAAUUAGUGGUGUAGGGGUAAAAUCCGUAGAUAUCACUAGGAAUACCGAAAGCGAAGGCGAUCUCCUGGAACAAUACUGACGCUAAGGCGUGAAAGCGUGGGGAGCAAACGGGAUUAGAAACCCUAGUAGUCC